This 382-nucleotide ribosomal RNA is filed under the name uncultured eukaryote. Its description in RNAcentral is "SSU rRNA". It matches the Rfam family "Eukaryotic small subunit ribosomal RNA", at positions 587 to 972 of the family's 1831-position model. The record is from RNAcentral.
AGCUCCACUAGCGUAUAUUAGCGUUGUUGCGGUUAAAAAGCUCGUAGUUGGAUUUCUGCUGAGGGGGACCGGUCCGCCCUCUGGGUGAGUAUCUGGUUCGGCCUGUGCAUCUUCUUGGAGAACGUAGCUGCACUUGACUGUGUGUUGCGGUAUCCAGGACUUUUACUUUGAGGAAAUUAGAGUGUUUCAUGCAGGCACACGCCUUGAAUACAUUAGCAUGGAAUAAUAAGAUAGGUCCUCAGUUCUAUUUUGUUGGUUUCUAGAGCUGAGGUAAUGAUUAGUAGGGAUUCGUUGUGGGCAUUCGUAUUUAACGGUCAGAGGUGAAAUUCUUGUACUUGUUAAACACGAACUACUGCGAAAGCAUUUGCCAAGGACGUUUUCA